UUAACUCAAAUUUGUAUAGAGUUGGAACGUUUGCCUACGUUUGCCGCUAGAGAUGCUGUUCCAACUGCACACAAAUUUGAGUUA
Bombyx mori (domestic silkworm) is the source of this 84-nucleotide non-coding RNA. NCBI's taxonomy places the organism in Eukaryota, Metazoa, Arthropoda, Insecta, Lepidoptera, Bombycidae. The record is from Rfam.